CAGCCGCCGCGGGAAUACGUAGGGUGCAAGCGUUAAUCGGAAUUACUGGGCGUAAAGCGUGCGCAGGCGGUGUUGUAAGACUGAUGUGAAAUCCCCGGGCUCAACCUGGGAACUGCAUUGGUGACUGCAACGCUGGAGUGCGGCAGAGGGGGAUGGAAUUCCGCGCGUAGCAGUGAAAUGCGUAGAUAUGCGGAGGAACACCGAUGGCGAAGGCAAUCCCCUGGGCCUGCACUGACGCUCAUGCACGAAAGCGUGGGGAGCAAACAGGAUUAGAUACCCCCGUAGUCCCUGUCUCUUAUAA
This 301-nucleotide ribosomal RNA is filed under the name uncultured bacterium. RNAcentral's name for it is "partial 16S ribosomal RNA". It matches the Rfam family "Bacterial small subunit ribosomal RNA", at positions 509 to 809 of the family's 1533-position model. The record is from RNAcentral.